AUGCAGAAGGAUAAAAUCCAGGGCAGAGCCCCCCAUCCCAGGAAGUCAAGGCAGAGAGCAGCAGUCCAGGCCAGCGGGCAAGGUAGUCCACUUGUGAUCUAUCCUGGCCGAGCAUGCCCAUGCCAGGUGUCUUCUGGGCAGCCUCUGGAGUCAAAUCAAGAUUUGAGGUACCCCGAGGAGGCCGUUAGCCAAAGCUUGGAAGUGGCAGCACCGAAGCACACGCAUCGAGAACAUCUCAACAUCCACGUCCGAUCGAGGAUGGAUUUUGUCCACUUGUCUUCCAAAAGCUAAGUGUCGGGAGAAGGGGAAAAGCCUUUACUAUCACAGGGGGCAGUUUCAUGUCAGCUUAGCGGAGAGGUCUGUAGUGGGACGGGCUCCCUGGAAGUAAAGGGAGAGGGUUUCUCCUUAGCCUCACCAGAGCGUUUGCCGGGCAGGGCAGUUCCGACCCAUCUCCACAGCGUCGCGAACUUUGCGUCGUCGGCCUUCCUCGACUUGGCAUCAUCACGGAUCUUCCCCCGAGGAGCUCGCCUUCGGGUCCAGAGCUAUAGCCACGAUCACCCAGCCAUCCGCUUCCUUCUCGAGGCUCGCCGAGCCUCUCGAGCAUCUUCUUAACUGCUUUGGCACUAACUUCUUUUAACGAGUUACAUUUCAUUAACACACGCUAUUGUCAUAGAGCUUCCUUUCCUUUGGCAUCAUCAGCCUCUGGCUCAUCUUGCGCUAGCAGUCUCAGGUCCCUAAGGGGAAAGUUGCCACUUGUCUCUGUGUUACGUCUUCUGUGUCUAUUUUAUGUCAUCCGUGUCUGUGUUAUGUAGCGUGUGUCCGUCAUCUUCCACGUCGUAGGCCUUUAUUACAUCUUGAUGCUUUAUCGGCACUAUUCUGUGCCAUAACGCCCCUAUUCUACUCACGUUUCUUUCCGGAUAUUCCUUAUUCCGGCAUCUUUACA
Molecule: long non-coding RNA, 943 nt
Filed under: Junco hyemalis (dark-eyed junco)
Lineage: Eukaryota; Metazoa; Chordata; Aves; Passeriformes; Passerellidae
Description: lncRNA (ENSJHYG00000002663.1)
Source: RNAcentral